Molecule: ribosomal RNA, 2273 nt
Filed under: Escherichia coli
Lineage: Bacteria; Pseudomonadati; Pseudomonadota; Gammaproteobacteria; Enterobacterales; Enterobacteriaceae
Description: partial 23S ribosomal RNA
Rfam family: Bacterial large subunit ribosomal RNA
Source: RNAcentral
GAAAAAGAACCUGAAACCGUGUACGUACAAGCAGUGGGAGCACGCUUAGGCGUGUGACUGCGUACCUUUUGUAUAAUGGGUCAGCGACUUAUAUUCUGUAGCAAGGUUAACCGAAUAGGGGAGCCGAAGGGAAACCGAGUCUUAACUGGGCGUUAAGUUGCAGGGUAUAGACCCGAAACCCGGUGAUCUAGCCAUGGGCAGGUUGAAGGUUGGGUAACACUAACUGGAGGACCGAACCGACUAAUGUUGAAAAAUUAGCGGAUGACUUGUGGCUGGGGGUGAAAGGCCAAUCAAACCGGGAGAUAGCUGGUUCUCCCCGAAAGCUAUUUAGGUAGCGCCUCGUGAAUUCAUCUCCGGGGGUAGAGCACUGUUUCGGCAAGGGGGUCAUCCCGACUUACCAACCCGAUGCAAACUGCGAAUACCGGAGAAUGUUAUCACGGGAGACACACGGCGGGUGCUAACGUCCGUCGUGAAGAGGGAAACAACCCAGACCGCCAGCUAAGGUCCCAAAGUCAUGGUUAAGUGGGAAACGAUGUGGGAAGGCCCAGACAGCCAGGAUGUUGGCUUAGAAGCAGCCAUCAUUUAAAGAAAGCGUAAUAGCUCACUGGUCGAGUCGGCCUGCGCGGAAGAUGUAACGGGGCUAAACCAUGCACCGAAGCUGCGGCAGCGACGCUUAUGCGUUGUUGGGUAGGGGAGCGUUCUGUAAGCCUGUGAAGGUGUGCUGUGAGGCAUGCUGGAGGUAUCAGAAGUGCGAAUGCUGACAUAAGUAACGAUAAAGCGGGUGAAAAGCCCGCUCGCCGGAAGACCAAGGGUUCCUGUCCAACGUUAAUCGGGGCAGGGUGAGUCGACCCCUAAGGCGAGGCCGAAAGGCGUAGUCGAUGGGAAACAGGUUAAUAUUCCUGUACUUGGUGUUACUGCGAAGGGGGGACGGAGAAGGCUAUGUUGGCCGGGCGACGGUUGUCCCGGUUUAAGCGUGUAGGCUGGUUUUCCAGGCAAAUCCGGAAAAUCAAGGCUGAGGCGUGAUGACGAGGCACUACGGUGCUGAAGCAACAAAUGCCCUGCUUCCAGGAAAAGCCUCUAAGCAUCAGGUAACAUCAAAUCGUACCCCAAACCGACACAGGUGGUCAGGUAGAGAAUACCAAGGCGCUUGAGAGAACUCGGGUGAAGGAACUAGGCAAAAUGGUGCCGUAACUUCGGGAGAAGGCACGCUGAUAUGUAGGUGAAGUCCCUCGCGGAUGGAGCUGAAAUCAGUCGAAGAUACCAGCUGGCUGCAACUGUUUAUUAAAAACACAGCACUGUGCAAACACGAAAGUGGACGUAUACGGUGUGACGCCUGCCCGGUGCCGGAAGGUUAAUUGAUGGGGUCAGCGCAAGCGAAGCUCUUGAUCGAAGCCCCGGUAAACGGCGGCCGUAACUAUAACGGUCCUAAGGUAGCGAAAUUCCUUGUCGGGUAAGUUCCGACCUGCACGAAUGGCGUAAUGAUGGCCAGGCUGUCUCCACCCGAGACUCAGUGAAAUUGAACUCGCUGUGAAGAUGCAGUGUACCCGCGGCAAGACGGAAAGACCCCGUGAACCUUUACUAUAGCUUGACACUGAACAUUGAGCCUUGAUGUGUAGGAUAGGUGGGAGGCUUAGAAGUGUGGACGCCAGUCUGCAUGGAGCCGACCUUGAAAUACCACCCUUUAAUGUUUGAUGUUCUAACGUUGACCCGUAAUCCGGGUUGCGGACAGUGUCUGGUGGGUAGUUUGACUGGGGCGGUCUCCUCCUAAAGAGUAACGGAGGAGCACGAAGGUUGGCUAAUCCUGGUCGGACAUCAGGAGGUUAGUGCAAUGGCAUAAGCCAGCUUGACUGCGAGCGUGACGGCGCGAGCAGGUGCGAAAGCAGGUCAUAGUGAUCCGGUGGUUCUGAAUGGAAGGGCCAUCGCUCAACGGAUAAAAGGUACUCCGGGGAUAACAGGCUGAUACCGCCCAAGAGUUCAUAUCGACGGCGGUGUUUGGCACCUCGAUGUCGGCUCAUCACAUCCUGGGGCUGAAGUAGGUCCCAAGGGUAUGGCUGUUCGCCAUUUAAAGUGGUACGCGAGCUGGGUUUAGAACGUCGUGAGACAGUUCGGUCCCUAUCUGCCGUGGGCGCUGGAGAACUGAGGGGGGCUGCUCCUAGUACGAGAGGACCGGAGUGGACGCAUCACUGGUGUUCGGGUUGUCAUGCCAAUGGCACUGCCCGGUAGCUAAAUGCGGAAGAGAUAAGUGCUGAAAGCAUCUAAGCACGAAACUUGCC